Molecule: ribosomal RNA, 770 nt
Filed under: Chitinophaga sp. VPMK46
Lineage: Bacteria; Pseudomonadati; Bacteroidota; Chitinophagia; Chitinophagales; Chitinophagaceae
Description: bacterial SSU rRNA
Rfam family: Bacterial small subunit ribosomal RNA
Source: RNAcentral
GACCGGCAAACGGGUGCGGAACACGUACGCAACCUUCCUUCAAGCGAGGGAUAGCCCAGAGAAAUUUGGAUUAAUACCUCAUAGGAAUGUAGUCUCGCAUGAGACAGCAUUUAAAGAUUUAUCACUUGAAGAUGGGCGUGCGUCUGAUUAGGUAGUUGGUGAGGUAACGGCUCACCAAGCCGACGAUCAGUAACUGGCGUGAGAGCGCGACCAGUCACACGGGCACUGAGACACGGGCCCGACUCCUACGGGAGGCAGCAGUAAGGAAUAUUGGUCAAUGGACGCAAGUCUGAACCAGCCAUGCCGCGUGGAGGAUGAAGGCCCUCUGGGUUGUAAACUUCUUUUAUUUGGGACGAAACACUUUCUUUCUAGAGAGCUUGACGGUACCAGAUGAAUAAGCACCGGCUAACUCCGUGCCAGCAGCCGCGGUAAUACGGAGGGUGCAAGCGUUAUCCGGAUUCACUGGGUUUAAAGGGUGCGUAGGCGGAUAUGUAAGUCCGUGGUGAAAUCUCCGAGCUUAACUCGGAAACUGCCAUGGAUACUAUAUAUCUUGAAUGUUGUGGAGGUUAGCGGAAUAGUUCAUGUAGCGGUGAAAUGCUUAGAUAUGACCUAGAACACCGAUUGCGAAGGCAGCUGGCUACACAACGAUUGACGCUGAGGCACGAAAGCGUGGGGAUCAAACAGGAUUAGAUACCCUGGUAGUCCACGCCCUAAACGAUGAUUACUCGACAUUUGCGAUAUACAGUAAGUGUCUGAGCGAAAGCAUUAAG